This is a long non-coding RNA of Zootermopsis nevadensis, 1305 nucleotides long. RefSeq lists it as uncharacterized. The record is from RefSeq and is a predicted model, not a curated record. Lineage: Eukaryota; Metazoa; Arthropoda; Insecta; Blattodea; Termopsidae.
UUUUAAUUUGGUUUUGUUAACCUGUAAUGAAUUUGAUCUUGACAUUAGAAUCGUGUUUUGUCCACACACGAAGUCUGUCUGUAGGUGUAUUCAAUUAAUUAUAAAUCGAGCAGAUGAUUAGGUAUUAUUCCUAAACCAAUGAUUUUAUCAUUACCGAAUUUUACAUAAGAUGUAUUAUGAGUAAUUUAUGGAUCAUAUAACCUUCAUUUAAGACAUUUUUGUCUCCGGGUGAACACCUUGCGAGAUCCUAAAAUGUAGUGGAUCAUGGAACAAACCAGUGUCAAUGAAAGUUGCAAAUUCUCGUACAGUAGCAAUGAAUUACGCAGUAACUUUUCUCAGCACCUACCAAAGGAAUAAAAUAUAUAUAUAUAACAGUCACACGUGAGUAAAGCAGAUCCUGAAAUUUAAAUAUCUACACAACAUUUUAUACAUGUAUACCAUACUAAUUUUAAUACUGGAAUUAAAAUUUUACAUUCCACUGAUCUUUCAUAUUAAAAGUCAAGGAUGUGGAACAUUAAUGUUAACACUUGGUAGACUAAUUACCAAAUAGCACACUUUUGUAUUUAUUUACAUAAAUAUUUACAGUACUUAGUAAUUUCCACUAUAGAGUAGGAAUGAGAUAAAAGAUAAUCUCUAAUUGCUGGCUUACUUUUAUAUAAUGAGAUACACUUUUAAUGCUAUUUGGAAGAGUAAUGAAUAAUUUUAUCCCAGCAUAGUAUCUUUCUCAUAACUAGUGAGGUUAGCGUUUACCUGAUGGAGAUUAUGCUUAUGCCUUGUAUGUCAGAACUUGUUUGCAAUUUCUUUUUGUAGUAAUCACGAUUCUGUUAGUUGCAGACGGACAUGAUGAAACUAAUAGGUGGUCUUCAAAACACAAAACAAGGGCUAUUAUUCUGGUUUCAUGUCACUGACUCUCUAACACACAAAAGUGUUAACUGUUUAUUUCUAUCAAGGUACAGAAGAAAUUUUUUUACAGAAUGGAUAUGAGACCAUCAAGGUAUUAGGAGCAGAUGAAAUUAAAUAUAAAGCAUCAACGCCAGGCAAAUGGAGUAUUAUGUUGGUGUAAUCAUAAUCGCCGUCAUGUGUUUACUAUGCAGCCAAAAUGCACUUCAUAAGCAGGCACGAAACCCCAACAGAUGGACAAGAAUUUAAUAUGUUAUACUACGUAUAAAGUACUGCUAAAAUUUUGUAAUAAGAAAUGUGUGUAUGUGUUCCAAAUACAUAUAUAUGUUCCAUAAUGUACAGUGUCGAACAAAACAUUUCUAUCAAUAAAAUACAUAAACAAAUAAUAAAAAAUAUAUAAAACUA